GCAGUGUUUGAACUCGAUCUUGG
Molecule: microRNA, 23 nt
Filed under: Drosophila melanogaster (fruit fly)
Lineage: Eukaryota; Metazoa; Arthropoda; Insecta; Diptera; Drosophilidae
Description: dme-miR-1007-5p
Source: miRBase by way of RNAcentral